RNAcentral lists this ribosomal RNA (375 nucleotides) under uncultured bacterium. RNAcentral's name for it is "bacterial SSU rRNA". It matches the Rfam family "Bacterial small subunit ribosomal RNA", at positions 29 to 417 of the family's 1533-position model. The record is from RNAcentral.
AACGAACGCUGGCGGCAGGCCUAACACAUGCAAGUCGAACGCCGUAGCAAUACGGAGUGGCAGACGGGUGAGUAACGCGUGGGAACAUACCCUUCGGUUCGGAAUAACUCAGGGAAACUUGUGCUAAUACCGGAUACGUCCGAGGUUUUGAUCGACCUUGGAGGAAGAUUUAUCGCCGAAGGAUUGGCCCGCGUCUGAUUAGCUUGUUGGUGAGGUAAUGGCUCACCAAGGCGACGAUCAGUAGCUGGUCUGAGAGGAUGAUCAGCCACAUUGGGACUGAGACACGGCCCAAACUCCUACGGGAGGCAGCAGUGGGGAAUAUUGGACAAUGGGCGAAAGCCUGAUCCAGCCAUGCCGCGUGAGUGAUGAAGGCCU